This 492-nucleotide ribosomal RNA is filed under the name uncultured bacterium. RNAcentral's name for it is "partial 16S ribosomal RNA". It matches the Rfam family "Bacterial small subunit ribosomal RNA", at positions 29 to 507 of the family's 1533-position model. The record is from RNAcentral.
AGUGAACGCUGGCGGUAGGCCUAACACAUGCAAGUCGAACGGCAGCACAGUAAGAGCUUGCUCUUACGGGUGGCGAGUGGCGGACGGGUGAGAAAUACAUCGGAAUCUACUUUUUCGUGGGGGAUAACGUAGGGAAACUUACGCUAAUACCGCAUACGACCUACGGGUGAAAGCAGGGGAUCUUCGGACCUUGCGCGAUUGAAUGAGCCGAUGUCGGAUUAGCUAGUUGGCGGGGUAAAGGCCCACCAAGGCGACGAUCCGUAGCUGGUCUGAGAGGAUGAUCAGCCACACUGGAACUGAGACACGGUCCAGACUCCUACGGGAGGCAGCAGUGGGGAAUAUUGGACAAUGGGCGCAAGCCUGAUCCAGCUAUACCGCGUGGGUGAAGAAGGCCUUCGGGUUGUAAAGCCCUUUUGUUGGGAAAGAAAAGCAGCAGGUUAAUACCCCGCUGUUCUGACGGUACCCAAAGAAUAAGCACCGGCUAACUUCGUG